This 396-nucleotide ribosomal RNA is filed under the name uncultured bacterium. RNAcentral describes it as "bacterial SSU rRNA". It matches the Rfam family "Bacterial small subunit ribosomal RNA", at positions 30 to 429 of the family's 1533-position model. The record is from RNAcentral.
AUUGAACGCUGGCGGCAUGCCUUACACAUGCAAGUCGAACGGUAACGGGCCUUCGGGUGCCGACGAGUGGCGAACGGGUGAGUAAUGCAUCGGAACGUACCUUUCAGUGGGGGAUAACGUAGCGAAAGUUACGCUAAUACCGCAUAUUCUGUGAGCAGGAAAGCAGGGGAUCGCAAGACCUUGCGCUGAUUGAGCGGCCGAUGUCAGAUUAGCUAGUUGGUGAGGUAAAGGCUCACCAAGGCGACGAUCUGUAGCGGGUCUGAGAGGAUGAUCCGCCACACUGGAACUGAGACACGGUCCAGACUCCUACGGGAGGCAGCAGUGGGGAAUUUUGGACAAUGGGGGCAACCCUGAUCCAGCCAUGCCGCGUGAGUGAAGAAGGCCUCGGGUUGUAAA